UACGGAGGGGGCUAGCGUUGUUCGGAAUUACUGGGCGUAAAGCGCACGUAGGCGGAUCAGUCAGUCAGAGGUGAAAUCCCAGGGCUCAACCCUGGAACUGCCUUUGAUACUGCUGGUCUGGAGGUCGAGAGAGGUGAGUGGAAUUCCGAGUGUAGAGGUGAAAUUCGUAGAUAUUCGGAGGAACACCAGUGGCGAAGGCGGCUCACUGGCUCGAUACUGACGCUGAGGUGCGAAAGCGUGGGGAGCAAACAGG
This 253-nucleotide ribosomal RNA is filed under the name uncultured bacterium. RNAcentral describes it as "partial 16S ribosomal RNA". It matches the Rfam family "Bacterial small subunit ribosomal RNA", at positions 524 to 776 of the family's 1533-position model. The record is from RNAcentral.